GCCCAACAGCUAGCCCACCAAAACAAUUUCAACAAGCCCCUGUUAAUAACCCCUAAUACCCCCGUAUUAAAAUUAAGCAAACCAUUUUUCCCCCUUAGUAUAGGCGAUAGAAAAGGAACUACGGCGCAAUAGAGAAAGUACCGCAAGGGAAUGCUGAAAGAGAAAUGAAACAACCCAGUAAAGCCUAAAAAAGCAGAGAUUAAAUCUCGUACCUUUUGCAUCAUGAUUUAGCGAGUGUACCCCAAGCAAAGCGUACUUUAGUUUGACGUCCCGAAACUACGUGAGCUACUCCAAGACAGCCUAUUAAUAGGGCACACCCGUCUCUGUGGCAAAAGAGUGGGGAGAGCUUUGAGUAGAGGUGACAAACCUACCGAACCUAGUUAUAGCUGGUUGUCCAAGAAAUGAAUAGAAGUUCAGCCUCUUGGCUUCUCUUUUCACCCUAGAUUAACCCCUAUUGAUGCAACAAAGAAACCAAAAGAGUUAGUCAAAGGGGGUACAGCCCCUUUGAAUCAAGACACAACUUUUCCAGGAGGGU
Molecule: ribosomal RNA, 535 nt
Filed under: Alcichthys elongatus
Lineage: Eukaryota; Metazoa; Chordata; Actinopteri; Perciformes; Cottidae
Description: partial 16S ribosomal RNA
Rfam family: Bacterial large subunit ribosomal RNA
Source: RNAcentral